Molecule: ribosomal RNA, 254 nt
Filed under: uncultured bacterium
Lineage: Bacteria
Description: partial 16S ribosomal RNA
Rfam family: Bacterial small subunit ribosomal RNA
Source: RNAcentral
UACGGAGGGGGCUAGCGUUGUUCGGAAUUACUGGGCGUAAAGCGCGCGUAGGCGGACCUGCAAGUCGGGGGUGAAAGCCCGAGGCUCAACCUCGGAACUGCCUUCGAUACUGCGGGUCUCGAGUCCGGGAGAGGUGAGUGGAAUUCCUAGUGUAGAGGUGAAAUUCGUAGAUAUUAGGAAGAACACCAGUGGCGAAGGCGGCUCACUGGCCCGAUACUGACGCUGAGGCACGAAAGCGUGGGGAGCAAACAGGA